RNAcentral lists this ribosomal RNA (367 nucleotides) under uncultured soil bacterium. RNAcentral's name for it is "bacterial SSU rRNA". It matches the Rfam family "Bacterial small subunit ribosomal RNA", at positions 26 to 406 of the family's 1533-position model. The record is from RNAcentral.
AGAACGAGCGCUGGCGGCGUGCCUAAUACAUGCAAGUCGAACGAGAUCUUCGGGUCUAGUGGCGCACGGGUGCGUAACGCGUGGGAAUCUACCCUUGGGUUCGGAAUAACAGUUGGAAACGACUGCUAAUACCGGAUGAUGACGAAAGUCCAAAGAUUUAUCGCCCAAGGAUGAGCCCGCGUAGGAUUAGCUAGUUGGUGAGGUAAAGGCUACACCAAGGCUACGAUCCUUAGCUGGUCUGAGAGGAUGAUCAGCCACACUGGGACUGAGACACCGGCCCAGACCGUCCGUACGGGAGGCAGCGAGUAGGGAAUAGUUGGACAAGUGGGGGACAACCCGUGUACUCCAGACAAUCGACCGCGGUAGG